This 255-nucleotide ribosomal RNA is filed under the name uncultured bacterium. RNAcentral describes it as "partial 16S ribosomal RNA". It matches the Rfam family "Bacterial small subunit ribosomal RNA", at positions 524 to 778 of the family's 1533-position model. The record is from RNAcentral.
UACAGAGGGGGCAAGCGUUGUUCGGAAUUACUGGGCGUAAAGGGCGCGUAGGCGGCCUUCUAAGUCGAACGUGAAAUCCCCGGGCUCAACCCGGGAACUGCGUCCGAGACUGAAAGGCUUGAAUCCGGGAGAGGGAUGUGGAAUUCCAGGUGUAGCGGUGAAAUGCGUAGAUAUCUGGAGGAACAUCGGUGGCGAAGGCGGCAUCCUGGACCGGUAUUGACGCUGAGGCGCGAAAGCCAGGGGAGCAAAGCGGGG